RNAcentral lists this ribosomal RNA (2094 nucleotides) under Escherichia coli HVH 108 (4-6924867). RNAcentral describes it as "bacterial LSU rRNA". It matches the Rfam family "Bacterial large subunit ribosomal RNA", at positions 1 to 2121 of the family's 2925-position model. The record is from RNAcentral. Lineage: Bacteria; Pseudomonadati; Pseudomonadota; Gammaproteobacteria; Enterobacterales; Enterobacteriaceae.
UUAAGCGACUAAGCGUACACGGUGGAUGCCCUGGCAGUCAGAGGCGAUGAAGGACGUGCUAAUCUGCGAUAAGCGUCGGUGAGGUGAUAUGAACCGUUAUAACCGGCGAUUUCCGAAUGGGGAAACCCAGUGUGAUUCGUCACACUAUCAUUAACUGAAUCCAUAGGUUAAUGAGGCGAACCGGGGGAACUGAAACAUCUAAGUACCCCGAGGAAAAGAAAUCAACCGAGAUUCCCCCAGUAGCGGCGAGCGAACGGGGAGGAGCCCAGAGCCUGAAUCAGUGUGUGUGUUAGUGGAAGCGUCUGGAAAGGCGCGCGAUACAGGGUGACAGCCCCGUACACAAAAAUGCACAUACUGUGAGCUCGAUGAGUAGGGCGGGACACGUGGUAUCCUGUCUGAAUAUGGGGGGACCAUCCUCCAAGGCUAAAUACUCCUGACUGACCGAUAGUGAACCAGUACCGUGAGGGAAAGGCGAAAAGAACCCCGGCGAGGGGAGUGAAAAAGAACCUGAAACCGUGUACGUACAAGCAGUGGGAGCCUCUUAAUGGGGUGACUGCGUACCUUUUGUAUAAUGGGUCAGCGACUUAUAUUCUGUAGCAAGGUUAACCGAAUAGGGGAGCCGAAGGGAAACCGAGUCUUAACUGGGCGUUAAGUUGCAGGGUAUAGACCCGAAACCCGGUGAUCUAGCCAUGGGCAGGUUGAAGGUUGGGUAACACUAACUGGAGGACCGAACCGACUAAUGUUGAAAAAUUAGCGGAUGACUUGUGGCUGGGGGUGAAAGGCCAAUCAAACCGGGAGAUAGCUGGUUCUCCCCGAAAGCUAUUUAGGUAGCGCCUCGUGAAUUCAUCUCCGGGGGUAGAGCACUGUUUCGGCAAGGGGGUCAUCCCGACUUACCAACCCGAUGCAAACUGCGAAUACCGGAGAAUGUUAUCACGGGAGACACACGGCGGGUGCUAACGUCCGUCGUGAAGAGGGAAACAACCCAGACCGCCAGCUAAGGUCCCAAAGUCAUGGUUAAGUGGGAAACGAUGUGGGAAGGCCCAGACAGCCAGGAUGUUGGCUUAGAAGCAGCCAUCAUUUAAAGAAAGCGUAAUAGCUCACUGGUCGAGUCGGCCUGCGCGGAAGAUGUAACGGGGCUAAACCAUGCACCGAAGCUGCGGCAGCGACGCUUAUGCGUUGUUGGGUAGGGGAGCGUUCUGUAAGCCUGUGAAGGUGGCCUGUGAGGGUUGCUGGAGGUAUCAGAAGUGCGAAUGCUGACAUAAGUAACGAUAAAGCGGGUGAAAAGCCCGCUCGCCGGAAGACCAAGGGUUCCUGUCCAACGUUAAUCGGGGCAGGGUGAGUCGACCCCUAAGGCGAGGCCGAAAGGCGUAGUCGAUGGGAAACAGGUUAAUAUUCCUGUACUUGGUGUUACUGCGAAGGGGGGACGGAGAAGGCUAUGUUGGCCGGGCGACGGUUGUCCCGGUUUAAGCGUGUAGGCUGGUUUUCCAGGCAAAUCCGGAAAAUCAAGGCUGAGGCGUGAUGACGAGGCACUACGGUGCUGAAGCAACAAAUGCCCUGCUUCCAGGAAAAGCCUCUAAGCAUCAGGUAACAUCAAAUCGUACCCCAAACCGACACAGGUGGUCAGGUAGAGAAUACCAAGGCGCUUGAGAGAACUCGGGUGAAGGAACUAGGCAAAAUGGUGCCGUAACUUCGGGAGAAGGCACGCUGAUAUGUAGGUGAAGCGACUUGCUCGUGGAGCUGAAAUCAGUCGAAGAUACCAGCUGGCUGCAACUGUUUAUUAAAAACACAGCACUGUGCAAACACGAAAGUGGACGUAUACGGUGUGACGCCUGCCCGGUGCCGGAAGGUUAAUUGAUGGGGUUAGCGGUAACGCGAAGCUCUUGAUCGAAGCCCCGGUAAACGGCGGCCGUAACUAUAACGGUCCUAAGGUAGCGAAAUUCCUUGUCGGGUAAGUUCCGACCUGCACGAAUGGCGUAAUGAUGGCCAGGCUGUCUCCACCCGAGACUCAGUGAAAUUGAACUCGCUGUGAAGAUGCAGUGUACCCGCGGCAAGACGGAAAGACCCCGUGAACCUUUACUAUAGCUUGACACUGAA